This 387-nucleotide ribosomal RNA is filed under the name uncultured bacterium. RNAcentral's name for it is "bacterial SSU rRNA". It matches the Rfam family "Bacterial small subunit ribosomal RNA", at positions 28 to 417 of the family's 1533-position model. The record is from RNAcentral.
GACGAACGCUGGCGGCGUGCUUAACACAUGCAAGUCGAACGGUGACGGAGAGCUUGCUCUCCUGAUCAGUGGCGAACGGGUGAGUAACACGUGGGCAACCUGCCCAGACUUCGGGAUAACGCUUCGAAAGAGGUGCUAAUACCGGAUACGAGCUCCUUGGGCAUCCUUGGAGUUGGAAAGUUUUUCGGUCUGGGAUGGGCCCGCGGCCUAUCAGCUAGUUGGUGAGGUAACGGCUCACCAAGGCGACGACGGGUAGCCGGCCUGAGAGGGCGACCGGCCACACUGGGACUGAGACACGGCCCAGACUCCUACGGGAGGCAGCAGUGGGGAAUAUUGCGCAAUGGGCGAAAGCCUGACGCAGCAACGCCGCGUGAGGGAUGACGGCCU